RNAcentral lists this ribosomal RNA (484 nucleotides) under uncultured bacterium. Its description in RNAcentral is "partial 16S ribosomal RNA". It matches the Rfam family "Bacterial small subunit ribosomal RNA", at positions 30 to 507 of the family's 1533-position model. The record is from RNAcentral.
AUUGAACGCUGGCGGCAGGCCUAACACAUGCAAGUCGAGCGGAUGAAGGGAGCUUGCUCCUGGAUUCAGCGGCGGACGGGUGAGUAAUGCCUAGGAAUCUGCCUGGUAGUGGGGGAUAACGUCCGGAAACGGGCGCUAAUACCGCAUACGUCCUGAGGGGGAAGGUGGGGGAUCUUCGGACCUCACGCUAUCAGAUGAGCCUAGGUCGGAUUAGCUAGUUGGUGGGGUAAAGGCCUACCAAGGCGACGAUCCGUAACUGGUCUGAGAGGAUGAUCAGUCACACUGGAACUGAGACACGGUCCAGACUCCUACGGGAGGCAGCAGUGGGGAAUAUUGGACAAUGGGCGAAAGCCUGAUCCAGCCAUGCCGCGUGUGUGAAGAAGGUCUUCGGAUUGUAAAGCACUUUAAGUUGGGAGGAAGGGCAGUAAGUUAAUACCUUGCUGUUUUGACGUUACCAACAGAAUAAGCACCGGCUAACUUCGUG